RNAcentral lists this unclassified non-coding RNA (432 nucleotides) under soil metagenome. RNAcentral describes it as "partial contains 5.8S ribosomal RNA, internal transcribed spacer 2, and large subunit ribosomal RNA". The stretch from base 1 to 120 matches the Rfam family "5.8S ribosomal RNA", at positions 35 to 154 of the family's 154-position model. The record is from RNAcentral.
GAUGAAGAACGCAGCGAAAUGCGAUACGUAAUGUGAAUUGCAGAAUUCAGUGAAUCAUCGAAUCUUUGAACGCAUAUUGCGCUCUCUGGUAUUCCGGAGAGCAUGCUUGUUUGAGUAUCAGUAAACACCUCAACUUCCAUAUCUUUUUUGAAAUGGGAGUUGGACUUGAGUGAUCCCAACGCUUUUCCUCACCGAAAGGUGGCGGGUUACUUGAAAUGCAGGUGCAGCUGGACUUUUCUCUGAGCUAUAAGCAUAUCUAUUUAGUCUGCCUAAAAAACAGAUUAUUACCUUUGCUGCAGCUAACAUAAAGGAGAUUAGUUCUUGUGCUGACUGAUGCAGGAUUCACAAAGACGGCUUCGGCCGACUUUGUAAACUCGAUCUCAAAUCAAGUAAGACUACCCGCUGAACUUAAGCAUAUCAAUAAGCGGAGGA